UGCCAGCCGCCGCGGUAACACGGGGGGCGCAAGCGUUAUUCGGAAUUAUUGGGCGUAAAGGGCGCGCAGGCGGUCUGACAAGUCAGGGGUGAAAUCCCUCGGCUCAACCGAGGAACUGCCUCUGAAACUGUCAGGCUUGAGGCCGGGAGAGGGUGGCGGAAUUCCCAGUGUAGCGGUGAAAUGCGUAGAUAUUGGGAGGAACACCAGUGGCGAAGGCGGCUUUCUGGACCGAUACUGACGCUGAGACGCGAAAGCGUGGGGAGCAAACAGGAUUAGAUA
This 279-nucleotide ribosomal RNA is filed under the name uncultured bacterium. Its description in RNAcentral is "partial 16S ribosomal RNA". It matches the Rfam family "Bacterial small subunit ribosomal RNA", at positions 506 to 784 of the family's 1533-position model. The record is from RNAcentral.